RNAcentral lists this ribosomal RNA (212 nucleotides) under uncultured bacterium. RNAcentral's name for it is "partial 16S ribosomal RNA". It matches the Rfam family "Bacterial small subunit ribosomal RNA", at positions 1289 to 1500 of the family's 1533-position model. The record is from RNAcentral.
CAGUUCGGAUUGCAGCCUGCAACUCGGCUGCAUGAAGCUGGAAUCGCUAGUAAUCGCAGAUCAGAAUGCUGCGGUGAAUACGUUCCCGGGUCUUGUACACACCGCCCGUCACACCAUGGGAGUUGGAAAUGCCCGAAGUCAGUGACCGAACCGAAAGGAAGGAGCUGCCGAAGGUGGAGCCGAUGACUGGGGUGAAGUCGUAACAAGGUAUC